Molecule: non-coding RNA, 285 nt
Organism: Paramuricea clavata
Lineage: Eukaryota; Metazoa; Cnidaria; Anthozoa; Malacalcyonacea; Plexauridae
Source: the annotation of a GenBank genome assembly
CCAAUAUUGACAAGUGAAAUAUCCGAAACUACGAACAAAUGCCGAAUCUCCAGUUAAUAAGUUAAUAGAUUUAUCUUUAUGCCUGAUGCCAGGAUAAAAAUACCAAAACAAAACACCAAGCAACCUGCCAGACCGACAAGAAAAUGCAGCCUUGUUCGAAGGUUAGCCAUAUACUUAUAUGCUCUUCUAUGACUUGGUAUUGUUUCUUCAAUUUAGUAAAUGCUCACAGUAUCAAUCUCGAUGCGAUAUGCAAGAUUAAACAACGGAAUGUUUCAUCGCUGUAAC